UUGUUAAGCGAAGAAGGUACGAAGAUGA
RNAcentral lists this small RNA (28 nucleotides) under Bombyx mori (domestic silkworm). Its description in RNAcentral is "ovarian small RNA-38171". Lineage: Eukaryota; Metazoa; Arthropoda; Insecta; Lepidoptera; Bombycidae. The record is from RNAcentral.